This 756-nucleotide ribosomal RNA is filed under the name uncultured bacterium. RNAcentral's name for it is "bacterial SSU rRNA". It matches the Rfam family "Bacterial small subunit ribosomal RNA", at positions 8 to 796 of the family's 1533-position model. The record is from RNAcentral.
AGAGUUUGAUCCUGGCUCAGAAUCAACGCUGGCGGCGUGCCUAACACAUGCAAGUCGAACGAGAAAGUGGAGCAAUCCAUGAGUAAAGUGGCGCACGGGUGAGUAACACGUGACUAACCUACCCUUGAGUGGGGGAUAACUGAGGGAAACCUUAGCUAAUACCGCAUAACACCUACGGGUCAAAGGAGCAAUUCGCUCGAGGAGGGGGUCGCGGCCGAUUAGUUAGUUGGCGGGGUAACGGCCCACCAAGACGAUGAUCGGUAUCCGGCCUGAGAGGGCGCACGGACACACUGGAACUGAAACACGGUCCAGACUCCUACGGGAGGCAGCAGUGGGGAAUUUUGCGCAAUGGGGGAAACCCUGACGCAGCAACGCCGCGUGGAGGAUGAAGUCCUUCGGGACGUAAACUCCUUUCGAUCGGGACGAUUAUGACGGUACCGGAAGAAGAAGCCCCGGCUAACUUCGUGCCAGCAGCCGCGGUAAUACGAGGGGGGCGAGCGUUGUUCGGAAUUAUUGGGCGUAAAGGGUGCGUAGGCGGUUUGGUAAGUCUUAUGUGAAAUCUAUGGGCUCAACUCAUAGACUGCAUGAGAAACUGCCGGGCUCGAGUGUGGGAGAGGUGAGUGGAAUUUCCGGUGUAGCGGUGAAAUGCGUAGAUAUCGGAAGGAACACCUGUGGCGAAAGCGGCUCACUGGACCACAACUGACGCUGAUGCACGAAAGCUAGGGGAGCAAACAGGAUUAGAUACCCCAGUAGUCC